AUUGAACGCUGGCGGCAGGCCUAACACAUGCAAGUCGAACGGUAACAGGAAGCAGCUUGCUGCUUCGCUGACGAGUGGCGGACGGGUGAGUAAUGUCUGGGAAACUGCCUGAUGGAGGGGGAUAACUACUGGAAACGGUAGCUAAUACCGCAUAACGUCGCAAGACCAAAGAGGGGGACCUUAGGGCCUCUUGCCAUCGGAUGUGCCCAGAUGGGAUUAGCUAGUAGGUGGGGUAACGGCUCACCUAGGCGACGAUCCCUAGCUGGUCUGAGAGGAUGACCAGCCACACUGGAACUGAGACACGGUCCAGACUCCUACGGGAGGCAGCAGUGGGGAAUAUUGCACAAUGGGCGCAAGCCUGAUGCAGCCAUGCCGCGGGUAUGAAGAAGGCCUUCGGGUUGUAAAGUACUUUCAGCGGGGAGGAAGGGAGUAAAGUUAAUACCUUUGCUCAUUGACGUUACCCGCAGAAGAAGCACCGGCUAACUCCGUG
This 490-nucleotide ribosomal RNA is filed under the name uncultured bacterium. RNAcentral describes it as "partial 16S ribosomal RNA". It matches the Rfam family "Bacterial small subunit ribosomal RNA", at positions 30 to 507 of the family's 1533-position model. The record is from RNAcentral.